CUCCCGCUUGGGAUAAAUUGGUUUCAAGCUGAAAUAAAUAUUCUCACAGAUAUUUACAGUGUGGUGGGGGGCUUUUAUGUUUAAAAUCGUUAUAUACACGUUAGACUGUGAUUUUAAAAACAAAUGUUGAUAUCUUUUUAUAAUAUUUAUAAAAAAACGGUGCGGGAAAUGGACAUGAUUACAUUUCUGGAUGCUGGAAGCGGGAAUAUAAAAAAAAUAAAAAAAUUCUGUUUUGAAAAAAAUAGGUGCGGGC
RNAcentral lists this long non-coding RNA (253 nucleotides) under Mytilus galloprovincialis (Mediterranean mussel). Lineage: Eukaryota; Metazoa; Mollusca; Bivalvia; Mytilida; Mytilidae. The record is from RNAcentral.